This 737-nucleotide ribosomal RNA is filed under the name uncultured bacterium. RNAcentral's name for it is "bacterial SSU rRNA". It matches the Rfam family "Bacterial small subunit ribosomal RNA", at positions 8 to 796 of the family's 1533-position model. The record is from RNAcentral.
AGAGUUUGAUCCUGGCUCAGAACGAACGCUGGCGGCAGUAACACAUGCAAGUCGAACGCACCUUCGGGUGAGUGGCAGACGGGUGAGUAACGCGUGGGAACGUGCCCUUCAGUUCGGAAUAACCCAGGGAAACUUGGGCUAAUACCGGAUACGUGCGAGAGCAGAAAGAUUUAUCGCUGAAGGAUCGGCCCGCGUCUGAUUAGCUAGUUGGUGGGGUAAUGGCCCACCAAGGCGACGAUCAGUAGCUGGUCUGAGAGGAUGAUCAGCCACAUUGGGACUGAGACACGGCCCAAACUCCUACGGGAGGCAGCAGUGGGGAAUAUUGGACAAUGGGCGCAAGCCUGAUCCAGCCAUGCCGCGUGAGUGAUGAAGGCCUUAGGGUUGUAAAGCUCUUUCGGCGGGGACGAUAAUGACGGUACCCGCAGAAGAAGCCCCGGCUAACUUCGUGCCAGCAGCCGCGGUAAUACGAAGGGGGCUAGCGUUGUUCGGAAUCACUGGGCGUAAAGGGCGCGUAGGCGGCUUGAUAAGUCGGGGGUGAAAGCCUGUGGCUCAACCACAGAAUUGCCUUCGAUACUGUCUGGCUUGAGACCGGAAGAGGUAAGUGGAACUGCGAGUGUAGAGGUGAAAUUCGUAGAUAUUCGCAAGAACACCAGUGGCGAAGGCGGCUUACUGGUCCGGUUCUGACGCUGAGGCGCGAAAGCGUGGGGAGCAAACAGGAUUAGAUACCCUAGUAGUCC